UUUUGCUAACUUUGCUCCAGGCUCUUUGGCCUCUCUGCUCUUCCUUGACCAAGCUAGAUACACUCUAACCUUAGUGCAUUUUUACUUAUUUUUCUUCUUCAUGGAAUAAUUUUUUCCCCCAGACAUGCAAUGUUUAACUCCUUCAUGACUUUAAGAUUUUCCUCAAUGCUAACUUCACCUAGAGUAAUGUCUUGAAAACCUCACUUGGAAUUUCAAGCCUUACUCUUACCACUCUCAGUGUACCUGACCCUGGCCUAAUGUUAUAACUCUUAUAGCCUUAUAACAAUAUUAUGUACUUAUUUUUUAUGCAUAUAAUUCAUUUUCUUUCUCUUUUCUAUGCCAUGUAAGCUCUGUGAGGGCAAAUUUUAUCUAUUUUUGCCAGUAAGGGGCAUUCAGGGUAAUUUGGGGAUCAGAGGCUUUUGCUCACUGCCACUGCAUGUUUCAGUGACCUACAGGUCCAAUGUGAUGUAGACAGAGGAGGUUCUUGUGCCUGGAAAUUUUCUCUUUUAGUGCUGUCACCCUCAUCAUCAAGUGUUUGUUUGUUUGUUUUUGGUCUUUUUGUCUUUUUAGGGACACACCUGUGGCAUAUGGAAGUUCCCAGGCCAGGGGUCUAAUCAGAGCUGUAGCUGCCAGCCUAUUCCACAGCAAUGCAAGAUCAGAGCUACAUCUGCAACCUAUAUCACAGCUCAUGGCAAUGCCAGAUCCUUAACCCACUAAGCAAGGCCAGGGAUUGAACUUGCAUCCAAGCUGUGUCUGUGACCUACACCACAGCUCACAGCAAAGCUGGAUUCUUAGCCACUGAGGGAGGCCAGGGAUUGAACCCACAUCCUCCUGGAUACUAGUCAGGUUCGUUUCCACUGAGCCACAAUGGGAACUCAUUAUUGACUUUUGUCACCAUUAAGUGCCCUUUCCCCCGUCAUCAUUACUAAUUGCCUUCCACUCCUACAUUUUUUAUGAAGAAUAUCCUUCAAUACUUUUGUCGAUGCUAACUAUGGUUAUUAUGAACUGUAGGAUUUUAUUUUCCCUCAUUCUGGAAUGAUGUUUGGGCACUGUAUUCAAUUCUCCACUGAGUCUCCAAGCCUCUGUCCCAGUCCCGUGUGGACGUGAAGCCCAAGGACUAAGUGGAUCCAAUAAUCCCCAGCAUAGCUGCAGAAAUGCUAGCUCAUGAGUCAAAGCUACAGUUUUCAGCAAUUUAUUGUCUUCUGAAAUAUGGGAAUUUCCUUUUCUUUUGUAACCCCAGGCAUACUUUUUAACAAACAUUUUUGUUACAUUUUAUCUGGCAUUAUAUAUUUUUGUGAGUACUACAGCAUAACCCAUUCUUUCAUAUCACAGGCACUGAAAAGUCUUAGUACUAUGACUUCAUGGGACUAGAUUAUGCCUGUAUAGUUAGAACAAGGUCACUUUGAUUAUACUUGAAUAUAAAAAGAUAUUCAAUGAUAUGCCACAUUAAAAUUUUGAUAAAUUCUUUAAGAAUAUUUUGCUCCAAAGAUAUUAAAUUAGGAUUUAGUAGGACUUUAAAGUGCUUCUAAUUGCACCUCCAACCUGCCAAAAAAUCCCCCAUUCACCUUUGACUUUAACAAGAACACCCAUGAUAAAGUUAAUUCACAUAUCGAGGCCCACACAGUGAAGGCCACCAUGAGGCCCAGCCCACAUUACAAAUCUAAACUCAGGUCAACCUAUGCUUAUAGAAAACUUCACUGUCAAGGACAUCUAAUACUUGUCACAACCCUCCAACUCAGCAUCAGCUAGCUUCCCUCACCUGAGAAAAUAGGACCUUCUAGCCUUAGCAGGAAAUCCCCACCUCCUAGCCAAUCAUGCCCUGUUUCCACAUUGCCUUUUGUAAGGCUCUAGGAAACUCACUCUCACCCAAAAUCCCCAGGAGGAAAGUUCCAUCCCCCGCUUGUGAGGCAUGGUACUCCUCCCCCAACCCCUUCCCAAUCCAUGGAUUACUUUUCCCUUAAUAAAGGACUUCAAAUUCAUUAUUAAGUUGUUAUUCUUGUCAGUUAACACAUUCCCUUUGCUUUAAGAACUUAGGGGAAAAGAUCACACAUCAACAUUUUUGAUAUUAUCAGAUAUCAAUGUUUGCUGAAUUGGCUCAAAGACAUUAUUUUAUAUAUAACUUAGUUUGCAUUUCCUUGACAAUAUAUCUUCAUGAGAUGAGCCCUGCUUUGAUAAAUUGACUGUUCAUGAGUUUUACCAGUUACUUUUAUAUUUUUCAUCAAUAUGUAUUAUUUAUUUAUCUAUCUAUUUAUUUAUUUAUUGCUUUUUUUUUCAGGGCCAUACCCACAGCAUAUGGAGGUUCCCAGACUAGAGGUCAAAUUGGAGCUGUAGCCACUGGCCUACACCACAGCCACAGCCAUGCCAGAACUGAGCCAUGUCUGCAACCUACACCACAAGCUCACAGCAAUGCUGGAUCUUUAACCCACUGAGUGAUGCCAGGGAUCAAACCUGCAACCUCAUGGUUCCCAGGUGGAUUAGUUUCUGCUGCACCAUGAUGUGACCUCCCUGUGUCAUGAUAGGAACUCUGAAUUUCUUCAUUCUUCAUUCUUUGUACUCUGUAUCUCACCAAAUAUAUUCUUUAAUAUUGAACAAGCCCAUCUGAUCCAUAAAAGUAGAAAAUCAAUUGUUCUAUGGUGAGAGUGCAGUGAGUUCUUAACUGCCCUUUUGGCUAUUACUCUUUGUUUUCCACUUAUAGUCAAAUGACCCUAUCUUGCUCCAAGUACAAUUUCUUCCACACAGUCUGCUACCUGUUAUCAAACGGUGAGUGGAAUCACAUCAUCAUUCAACAUUUUUGCCCACUCUCUUUUAGAAUGUUUGCACAAUUGUCUACACACAUUUUUCCAUGUGUCAAAUUCUCUUCAUUGUUCCCCACAUUUAUCGAGACUUAAUUGUCACAUAACAUUGUGUAAGUUUAAGAUGUACACUGUGGUGAUUUGACAUACGUGAGCACUGCAAAAUGAUUACCAUGAUAAGGUUAGUUACUGCACUGAUCACUACACAAGGUUACCUUUUCUUCCCCUGCCAUAGUGAGGACUUGUAAGACAUACUCUCUUGGCAGCUUUCAAGUAGACAAUAUGGUGGUGCUACCUACAGGUGGCCUUUGAAAAAUGAAGUGGAACUUAUAUUUAGCUCUCUGUGUCCAGGAUUCUCUCACAUCCUGAGAUUUGAACACUCAUGGCCAUGCAGCACUGUGGUGUUUGCUACUGAAAAAUAUCCAUGUAUAAGUAAGUGGAUCUGCACAGUUCAAACCUGUGUUGUUCAAGGUCAACUGUGUAGACAUCAUAUCAUACAUUAGAUUCUCAAAAAUUAAUUCACCUUGUGACUGGCGGUUUGUAUCCUUUGCCCAAUAAAUUGUUGUAUUGAUUUACCAAACACAAUGUUCACUUCCUGAAAGUGAUAAAGUAGCUCAAAAUACAUUUUACUGUCAUUUUAGUAAAAUGCUCAUCUGAUUAAAUGAGUUUCUCAACCAAUGCACUUACAUAUAUAUGAUCUAUUAAUAACAUAUAUUGGAGUUCUAUGAAAUAAUUUUACAAGAUUCGUUUGAAAAAGAAAAUAUAGAAAUUAUGAAUUUUAUGAUAUAAACAUUAAUUUUUCAGAAUUAAUAAAGAUGUAAAAUUUCUAAACUUUAAAUACUGGAAUGUAUUCCUUUAAAUAAAGGGUGUUAUUAUACAUGGUGAAGCAAACAAUCUUGGGUCAAACUCUAAUUCUAAAUGAAAAAAUGAUAGUUCAUGCUGAUAGAAAUUAAGUGAUAUUAAUCCCACUAAUCUAAAUUGUUCCUAUCCUUUCAUCCUACAUCUCUUGUUUCAGCAUAAUAAGGAGUGAUCUACAGAAUUUUCUCUGUUAGUUAAGAAGCUUCUCUAAAAUGUUAUCCAUAUUUGGAAGCAUAGUCCUCUCAUUAUUUUCCUUUGUAUAUAUAAGUAAUGGGUUAUGAUCAUUUUUCUCAAGUGAAAAAUAUGUCAUAGACACUGAAGACAAAAUUUAUAAAAUCUCAAACUAUUUAAGUACCAAACUUUUAAAAUACAGUAAAGUUUAUCUCCCCACCACCAAUUUUUAGUGUUUUUACAUUCAGGAAGGAUGUAAAUUUUCCCAGAGGUUACUAAUAACUUGCAGAUUCAUAUCUUCAACUCUGUAUAUAAUUAGAAAGGCUUUAAGGAUUUUACAAAAACCAAAACCAAAAGCCCUCCAAAACCCAAAUGCCUAUUUGCCUUAUCUUCCCCCAACAUCCUCCAGUAGUCUUCAUUUUAUACUUAGCACCUGGCAGGAUACAGCAGUGGCGAUGGAGUAGAGAGGAAAGAAGCCAGAGAAUUAUCAUUUGUCAAAGAGUUACUGUGCAGUAGCUUUGGCCUAGUAGAUCUCCUAUAAUAGAUUUUACAAAAAAAAAAAUCACGUCUAUCUCACAGAUAUACCAAAUGAUAUUUGGAAACACUAAAUGACUUGCAAAAGGGCAAGUAUAUUUGAUGUUAAGAACCAUGUUGUUUCUAGUACAUUAUCCUGGGUUUUUCUUGGCCUUCCUUAGGCUAUGUUCAAAUAUUCCUAUUUACUCUACCACUGGAUUCAUCUAAUGCACAGAUGAAAGUAAUGUGGUGGAGAGUGUCUGUAAUUUAGAGAAGAUCAAGAUACACGCCUGGUAAAAGCAUUGAAAAAAAAUGUAAGCCUAUGAAUUUUCUUCCUUUGACCAAAGAAAUUCCACGUUGUAAGAAGGUAAGCAUUAGCAGCAUUGUGGAGCAAUGACUGAAUAGGAAUUUCAUGACUAGGCAGUGGUGAUGGGUGGUGUUGAUUUUGUGAUAUCAGGUCCAAAGGGUGAAUACAUCAGGAUGUUUUGUGGUUACACUAUGGAUCUUAUGAGAAAAUCCUUUGAAUGUGUGCGAGCAAAAGGCUGUGAUAUGCUUUACUUCAUACUGUCACUCAGUGUUGACUGUGUUCUGUAUAGUGAGUUAAGAAACAGAGAAGUCAUAGAGAUCAAUGGGACCUAAGUGCCUCACACAUCUGGCCACAUUACCUACUUAGAUGAUCCUGGAACAUUUAUUCCAGAUACCAUUUCUAAAAGAGCUGCUUUUGUUUUGGAUUCAUUAUGUAUUAUGGUGCUUGGCAGAUAAUAUAUUAAUCCCACAAUCAGUUGAUAUUGUAUUUUCCCACUGAAACAACUAUUGCACUAUUUUCAGAGAAAAACAAACUUUCUUCAUUCACAUCUGCUAUCAAUUACUUUUAUUCUAGAGUGCAGAUAAACUUUUAAUUAUCUCAAAUAUCCUAACUGAAAAUAAGUCCUAGGAAUUCUCUAAAUAACUGGUUAUAAAUGGUACCUGUUAUACAGAGCAGAGAAACAGUCUCAUUAGUUGCUAUAAUUAUGUUCAGAAUUUUGAACCAGUGUAAUUACCACAAAAAGUAUAACCUUUGAACUUAAAUAAUUAAAGCACAGCUUUUACUGCUUAAUUAUGGCAUAAAACAAAUGUUUCUGGGUUCAUAAGUAAGUAGAUAUCUGAAAAAUUAUAGUUAUUUCAAACUUAUUCAAUAACAGCCUAUGAAAACAUUUCAGUAAAAAAUCCUGGAAUUCAUUCUUUUAAAAGUUUGCAUUUUCUGGGAGUUCCCAUCGUGGCACAGUGGUUAACAAAUCUGACCAGGAACUAUGAGGUUGUGGGCUCCAUCCCUGGCCUUGCUUAGUGGGUUAAGGAUCCGGCAUUGCCGUGAGCUGUGGUGUAGGUUGCAUUUGCGGCUCAGAUCCUGCAUUGCUGUGGCUCUGGCAUAGGCCAGUGGCUACAGCUCUGACUGGACCCCUAGCUUGGGAACCUCCAUAUGCUGCAGAAGCGGCCCAAGAAAAUGUCAAAAAGACAAAAUAAAGUCUGCAUUUCUGAAGAUGUUAUGAUUGUAAUAAUAUUCUUAAUCUCAGUAUUAAAAUAACCAAAACCUGUAAUUAGUCUUUGAAUUUGGAAAUAAUCUUAAAAUUCUGCUACUUUGUUAAAUACUUUAGAGAAAAAAAAAAAAAGGAUGAUGUUAAGUGCCUUUUAAAAGGGAUCCAGUUCUGGAGUUCCUAUGAGGGCUCAGUGGAAAUGAACCUGACUAGUAUCCAUGAGAACAUGGAUUAGAUCCCUUCUCACUCUGUUGGGUAAGGAUGCAGCAUUGCUGUGAGCUGCUGUGUAAGUUGCAGAUGGGGCUCGGAUCCCAUGAUGCUGUGGCUAUGGUGUAAGCCAGCAGCUGUAGCUCCAAUUCGACCCUUAGCCUGGCAAUUACCAUAUGCUGUGAGUGCAGCCCCCCCCAAAAGACAUAAAAAGGGACCCAAUUCAUUAUUUAAAUAAUUAUCAUUUCAUUAUUUAAAAAAAUUUUUGAUCAGAGAAGUUUAGCACGGCAUAAAUCUGACACUUUUAUUUCACUUUAACAUUAAAGUGAUACCAUGAAGGAAACAUUGUUAAUACACUUUCACAGGUGAGGAAAUUGACCCUUAGAAAGGUCAAUUUCCAAGGUCACACAGAUGGAUUUAAUGGCUAAUCUAGAAAUCAUAUAUGGGCAACCUGAUGUCAAUAUGCAAGCUCUUAAUCAGGCAGUUUUUUCAGUCUCUUGAAAACAGUGCAUUAACUUACAAUAAUAAUAAUAAUAAAAAUAUGCAUUUGUUAAGAACAAAAGGCAUUGUGUUAUAGAAAGAACAUUAGACCUAGAAAGAAAAAGAUAGGUUAGAAAUCUGGUUCAAAUAUAUAAAAAUAUAUUUAAAAAAAAAGAAUUCUGGUUCAGCCAUUUACUGGGUCUGGAAAACAGGUUAAACCACAUUAAAUUCUGGAUUAAUCAUUCCACAUGUUUGUAUACAAAUUGUUUUGUUCUUAUACAAAACAAUUUGUAUACAAGACUGAGGAUAAAAAUAACAUUGUACUUCCUGGUCAUGCUAUGGGAACUUCAGUAAUUAUAAUUAACAAAACCAGAUAUGGUUUCAAUUAACCAGGCUCAUAUAUCUCUAGACUACAUAGAUGAGCAACAAAUUUCUUAGCAAAGUUACAUGUUCCAUCUUCAGCUCAUCUGAAUAGAAUAUUUUAAUUUUUUGGCCACAUUUGAGGCAUGUGGAAGUUCACAGGCCAGAGAUCGAUCCCACACCACAGCAGUGACCCAAGUGGCUCCAGUAACAACGCUAGACCCUUAACCAUCUGUGGCACUGGAGAACUCCUAGAAUACUUUAAUUUUCAUAUCAUCCCUUAGCAUUAUUACAAAACAACCAAAUACACUGUAUUUUCAAAACCCACUGGAUAUCCAAAGCCCUCAUAGUUUUCUGCUUGUCAAAAAUCUUUGCCCCAUUUCUACUAUUUUUUUGUCAAAACCCAUUCUCUUUCUGUCUUCUUCUCUGUCAUUAACUUCACCUGCAGUUUUUGAUAAGCCUCAAAUACUGGAUAUGCCUUUAAAUAUCUGAGGAAGUACAUCUCUUCUCAAGCUCUUUCUGAAAUAGCUCUAAAUAAAGCUAUUUAUGUCUACCAUUGAACUAUAGGACUUCAAUCCUGAUUUAUUAUUUGACCUCUAGAUUUUUAUCUCCAACUACUGACCCUACAUACUCACUUAGGUGUUUGUAUAUCCAUGUCAAAUGUUGCACUGAAAAAGAGACAUGCACCCCUAUGUUCGCUGCAGCACUACUCAAAACAGCCAAGACAUGGAAACAAUCUAAAUGUCCAACAAGGACAGAUGAAUGCAUUAACAAGACAUGGUACAUAUAAACAAUGGAAUACUACUCAGCCAUAAAAAAUAAUGUCAUUUUCAGCAACAUGUAUGGAGCUGGAGACUUUC
Molecule: long non-coding RNA, 7752 nt
Filed under: Sus scrofa (pig)
Lineage: Eukaryota; Metazoa; Chordata; Mammalia; Artiodactyla; Suidae
Description: lncRNA (ENSSSCG00005014457.1)
Source: RNAcentral